RNAcentral lists this ribosomal RNA (419 nucleotides) under uncultured Glomeraceae. RNAcentral's name for it is "SSU rRNA". It matches the Rfam family "Eukaryotic small subunit ribosomal RNA", at positions 459 to 886 of the family's 1831-position model. Lineage: Eukaryota; Fungi; Glomeromycota; Glomeromycetes; Glomerales; Glomeraceae. The record is from RNAcentral.
GGGAGGUAGUGACAAUAAAUAACAAUACCGGGCUCAAUGAGUCUGGUAAUUGGAAUGAGUACAAUCUAAAUCCCUUAACGAGAUCCAUUGGAGGGCAAGUCAGGUGCCAGCAGCCGCGGUAAUUCCAGCUCCAAUAGCGUAUAUUAAAGUUGUUGCAGUUAAAAAGCUCGUAGUUGAAUUUCGGGAUCAAGGGAUUGGUCAUGCCUCGGUAUGCACUGGUCUUAUUGGUUCUCACCUUCUAAAGAACCAUGAUGUCAUUCAUUAGAUGUUAUGGGGAAUUAGGACUGUUACCUUGAAAAAUUAGAGUGUUUAAAGCAAGCUUACGCUUGAAUACAUUAGCAUGGAAUAAUGAAAUAGGACAUCAGAUUCUAUUUUGUUGGUUUCUAGGAUCGAUGUAAUGAUUAAUAGGGAUAGUUGGG